CAGAACCUACGGGGGGCAGCAGUGGGGAAUAUUGCACAAUGGGGGGAACCCUGAUGCAGCGACGCCGCGUGAGUGAAGAAGUAUUUCGGUAUGUAAAGCUCUAUCAGCAGGGAAGAAGAUGACGGUACCUGACUAAGAAGCCCCGGCUAACUACGUGCCAGCAGCCGCGGUAAUACGUAGGGGGCAAGCGUUAUCCGGAUUUACUGGGUGUAAAGGGUGCGUAGGUGGCAGGGCAAGUCAGAUGUGAAAGGCCGGGGCCCAACCCCGGGACUGCUCUGGAAACUAUUGAACUUGAGUGCAG
Molecule: ribosomal RNA, 301 nt
Filed under: uncultured bacterium
Lineage: Bacteria
Description: bacterial SSU rRNA
Rfam family: Bacterial small subunit ribosomal RNA
Source: RNAcentral